CAGUAGUUCUUACUUCAAUGGCCAAAUGGUUAGACCUUGUAAAACACGUCUAGAAACUGGCUUGAUUUCUUUUGGACUGAUGUCUAAGUUCCUUUUUUUUAACCUAAUGAGUACCAACCAAAUGGCAUAUAGUAUAGUCUUCUGACACUUUUCCAGCUAUGAUGAUAUUAAGAAUUUCCUGACUUGGUAUUGACACUCAAGGGUGUUGUUGACCAAGGGGGCUAUUCAGGACUUAACCAGUUCACCAGUAACUUGGCAACUGACGAUGCCUUUGCGGUUUACUGAAGCAAUCCACUGGGACCUUGCAGGCUUCAAAUAGCUUUUGGCCUUUGGAGAAGAUCAUGUUAAAGAAGCUCUGACGAAGGCCUUGAGGCAGAUUAUUAAUAAAAAGCGUGAUACUAAAGCGAGCGGUGUUAUGUUAUUCAAUUGGUAAUAUGCAACAAAGAUGGCUCAAAUGGGGAAGUGUCUUUUGAAUUUGGGAAAGAUGGUGUUCAAAUUCAUUGGAUUGAUCACAUCUCACAAUCUAAAUUUUAAGGGAGUAUAUUGCAUUGGAAGCCUAAUUUGAAGAUUAUACUUGUCAUGUAGUAAACUGGACUUGUUCAAAACAGACAUUACUGCAUUGAAGAGGAACUGCCCCCUAAUAAUCCAAAUCCUUUUGAAAAUAGCCUGUGGUAUCAUUUUAUUCUAGUGUCAAUUGACAUAAGUGAGAUUACUUUGGUUAUCGUAAACUAAGUUUGACACCUCUGUCACAAGGAGUAAAGUUAGGGCUGGGUUUGUAUUACAUUUGUCAAAUCAUGCCCCCCUUAGACUUGCUGUGCAAAUUGCCCAUGUUACUUAGCUAUGAGAAACUAGCCACAAAGAU
Molecule: long non-coding RNA, 862 nt
Organism: Oncorhynchus tshawytscha (Chinook salmon)
Lineage: Eukaryota; Metazoa; Chordata; Actinopteri; Salmoniformes; Salmonidae
Source: Ensembl